RNAcentral lists this transfer RNA (87 nucleotides) under Alphaproteobacteria bacterium. RNAcentral's name for it is "tRNA-Leu". It matches the Rfam family "tRNA". From Rfam's summary of the family: Transfer RNA (tRNA) molecules are approximately 80 nucleotides in length. Their secondary structure includes four short double-helical elements and three loops (D, anti-codon, and T loops). The record is from RNAcentral. Lineage: Bacteria; Pseudomonadati; Pseudomonadota; Alphaproteobacteria. RNAcentral also lists the same sequence under 2 other names.
GCCCCUGUGGCGGAAUUGGUAGACGCGGCAGACUCAAAAUCUGUUAUCCGCAAGGAUGUGCUGGUUCGAGUCCGGCCAGGGGCACCA